UGUAAUAGAAUUUUAAAAUAGAUACUCUCUAUACAUUAAUUUUUGUAGUAGAAGUCCAUUGAUACAUGUGGGGCUGUGCAAAAUUCGGUUCAACCCAUUAACCCGAAUCGAUAAUUUGUUUAUCGAGUUAAUGGGUCAGUUUAAUUAAUUAUCGAUUCGGGUGUCGAUUUUAGUUUUUUUGUUAUUAGGCUGUCGGUUUGAACCGCGAUUUUAUUGAUAUUUUUAUCGGGGUACCCGAUAUCUGGAAAAGCAUAAUAGGCUACACUCUACAGGACCCCGCACUGACCUAAUUAUUCAAGACAAAAGCGACCCAAGUCCCAAAGAGUAAUAACCAAUAGGGUUUAUUCUACACUUAGCGUCUUUCUCUCAGUUUUCACCGAUUCACUCUUCAGUCUCUCUCUCACCACUCACAAGUCACAAAAGCUCGGGUAUUGCUGCUCUCAAAAGUUCAAUUUCUGCAUCUCACUCUUAAUCUCUCUCUCACUACUCACAAGUCAUAAAAGCUUGAUUGUUGAUGUUCACAAAAGCUCAAUUUUUGCUUAAAACUACUCAAUUAAAUGAUUCUCGUCUGUUGCUGCUCAGUGCUCACAAUCGCUACGCAACAGGUAACAAUUUUUAGAUAAUCUCUGCUUCAUCUUCAAUUUCUGUCCAGUGUCCAAUCUUCGAUGUAUGUACAAUUUCUGUCCAAACUAUAAUUGGUGCUUCAUGUUUGUGAAUCCACUGUUUAAGCCAACAUAAAAACACUAUCAACAAAUGCACAAGGAGGUUUCAUAAAAUUGAGAUUACAAAGAAGAGAAAAUCAGUAGAAAUAUAGCUUAAAGUUGGAUUGUUGGAUUGAACAGGGAGACAGUAUAAUUAUUGAGUAUUAUUUUGAGUUUAUAGGUUUAAUUGUUCACCAAAUGUUAGAGUGUCUGUAUGUUACAACUUUUCCCUUCACUAUGUGUUAUAAGAAUGGAUGCGCGAGUUGACAUCAUUGUUGAUUGAUGAAUUGUGCUUUGAAUUUUGGUUCAAAAUUGUGUUUUAGGGAUUGUAGUCGAAACACAUAGUUGUUUUGAUUGUGAUUUUAUAUGUGCGGAUACAUGUGUUGUGAAUGUGUUUGUUUGAAAUGACUACUUCAUAUUGGUUAAUUAUUCGUAUCUCAUAACUAGCAUUACAUAAUGUUAUUCUCGCUCAUGAAGCAGUCAUGGUAGUAGUGAACUGUUGUUUAAGGUUACUGAAUGCAAGUUUGUACUCCUUGAGUUCUGUUGGAAUAGGUUCAUAAAUUGAAGAAAUAUUGUGUAAGUUUAGCACCCGAGAUAGAUAUUGUUGUUGAUAUGAUGUGAAGAUUAUGAUGUGAUAAUCACUGUACUUUGCUUGAAGCCUGAGCAUUGAAGGAUGGAAUUGUGAAUCUACAAGGGUGAACUUGAAAACAUAAUGGUUGAAAGCUUGCAUAUAUGAUUAGAUGUAUGGGAAGAUUACUCGUAUUGAAUUAUCUAGCACAGGAGUCUAGUAGUUCCUGAUAAGGAUAUUCAGUUAUGUAGAUUUAAAAAGGUAAUGCUCUCUGUUUCUUGCCUAUUUAAAUUGAUGACAUUUGGACGAAUCCCUUUUGAAUAAACUUAUGAUCUUUCUAUUAUUUCAGUA
Molecule: long non-coding RNA, 1620 nt
Filed under: Capsicum annuum
Lineage: Eukaryota; Viridiplantae; Streptophyta; Magnoliopsida; Solanales; Solanaceae
Description: long non-coding RNA (CANN_LNC004154)
Source: RNAcentral